CUGCUCAGCUUGCCUCCUGCUCCUUAGACUAACUUCUGUGCGCGCUACUGGCUGGUGAAGCUUGGAGGGGGCGUGAGCUGCAAGUCUCCGUGCCUGUGGUCAGUAAUGAAGACUUCUCUUUUUAUACACAGAUUACUGAGGAACUGCACAGGGCUAGACUGUAGCUCUUAAUUCCCCGACUUUUUUUCAUUUUAAACCUUCUCCGAGGAGAAUGCAGCCUCUCCACCAGCGGCUUUAUGAUGAGCUCACUGGCAGCAGCUCGAGAGGCUCAAAAGGAAGAGAUUUUAUUUUUCCCGUCCCUCGCUGGACUUCCUAGGACGCAGCCUUUGAUUCAGCCUCCUGAUGUUAUCAAGUAGGAAGCAGAGGCCCUUUGAAGCUUUUUGAAUGUCUGCACCUAACCUCCGAGUGCAUCAGUUCGGGACCGGGACCCCACCGUGCUAAGAGCGGAGCAAAAUCACAGUCUCUUCUCGUGAGAACUAGCUGCCCAGGCAGGCGACAAGAGGAAAGAGCUGUUCGCAGGUGGGUCAGGGAGCACCAGGAAACUAGGGGAUGCUGGUGGUUGGUGGGAUAGGCAUUGCUGUCAGCCUCUCUGCAGCCCCGUUGUUGUCCGUCCUCUGCUAAAAGGAGGUACUGAGCAGAGGGCUGAAGAAGGAUAAAGAAACGGCUUUGCAAAGACUGCCGUGGAGCUUCUCCCCGGCGUAGGGGCAGGAAGGUGCGAUGGAGCCUGGCCAAGCCCAGCGAGGGAGCAGCAGCUGCAGAGAUCUCCCCUGCCUCCAAGACGUGCAGAAGUAUUCUGCUAGGUCCCAUCCUGAACGAUGAGGCUCCCCCCAGCCGGUGUCCCCACGCCCAGCCUGUCCAGCAGCCGGGAUGGAUGUGGGAGCAGGGUGCCACUGCCCUUUUAAUCCGGCCUCCUCCUAACUGCCGGCGAACAAGGGACCAUGCCCGCGAAGGCAGCAUCUAACCCCAUGGAGCGAAGGGAAGCCAGCGCUUUC
This 992-nucleotide long non-coding RNA is filed under the name Crocodylus porosus (Australian saltwater crocodile). Its description in RNAcentral is "lncRNA (ENSCPRG00005006895.1)". The record is from RNAcentral. Lineage: Eukaryota; Metazoa; Chordata; Crocodylia; Crocodylidae.